RNAcentral lists this ribosomal RNA (465 nucleotides) under Vreelandella stevensii. RNAcentral's name for it is "partial 16S ribosomal RNA". It matches the Rfam family "Bacterial small subunit ribosomal RNA", at positions 338 to 795 of the family's 1533-position model. Lineage: Bacteria; Pseudomonadati; Pseudomonadota; Gammaproteobacteria; Oceanospirillales; Halomonadaceae. The record is from RNAcentral.
CCUACGGGCGGCUGCAGUGGGGAAUAUUGGACAAUGGGGGGAACCCUGAUCCAGCCAUGCCGCGUGUGUGAAGAAGGCCCUCGGGUUGUAAAGCACUUUCAGUGAGGAAGAACGCCUGGUGGUUAAUACCCAUCAGGAAAGACAUCACUCACAGAAGAAGCACCGGCUAACUCCAUGCCAGCAGCCGCGGUAAUACGGAGGGUGCGAGCGUUAAUCGGAAUUACUGGGCGUAAAGCGCGCGUAGGUGGCUUGAUAAGCCGGUUGUGAAAGCCCCGGGCUCAACCUGGGAACGGCAUCCGGAACUGUCAAGCUAGAGUGCAGGAGAGGAAGGUAGAAUUCCCGGUGUAGCGGUGAAAUGCGUAGAGAUCGGGAGGAAUACCAGUGGCGAAGGCGGCCUUCUGGACUGACACUGACACUGAGGUGCGAAAGCGUGGGUAGCAAACAGGAUUAGAUACCCCUGUAGUC